This 198-nucleotide ribosomal RNA is filed under the name uncultured bacterium. Its description in RNAcentral is "partial 16S ribosomal RNA". It matches the Rfam family "Bacterial small subunit ribosomal RNA", at positions 328 to 539 of the family's 1533-position model. The record is from RNAcentral.
ACGCUCGACACCUACUGGAGGCAGCAGUGGGGAAUAUUGCACAAUGGGGGAAACCCUGAUGCAGCGACGCCGCGUGAGUGAAGAAGUAUUUCGGUAUGUAAAGCUCUAUCAGCAGGGAAGAAAAUGACGGUACCUGACUAAGAAGCCCCGGCUAACUACGUACCAGCAGCCGCGGUAAUCUGAGCGGGCUGGCAAGGC